This 460-nucleotide ribosomal RNA is filed under the name uncultured bacterium. Its description in RNAcentral is "partial 16S ribosomal RNA". It matches the Rfam family "Bacterial small subunit ribosomal RNA", at positions 338 to 795 of the family's 1533-position model. The record is from RNAcentral.
CCUACGGGAGGCAGCAGUGAGGAAUAUUGGUCAAUGGGCGCUAGCCUGAACCAGCCAAGUAGCGUGAAGGAUGACUGCCCUAUGGUUUGUAAACUUCUUUUAUAUGGGAAUAAAGUGCAGUAUGUAUACUGCUUUGCAUGUACCUUAUGAAUAAGGAUCGGCUAACUCCGUGCCAGCAGCCGCGGUAAUACGGAGGAUGCGAGCGUUAUCCGGAUUUAUUGGGUUUAAAGGGAGCGGAGGCGGGUUGUUAAGUCAGUUGUGAAAGUUUGCGGCUCAACCGUAAAAUUGCAGUUGAUACUGGCAGCCUUGAGUACAGUAGAGGUAGGCGGAAUUCGUGGUGUAGCGGUGAAAUGCUUAGAUAUGACGAAGAACUCCGAUUGCGAAGGCAGCCUGCUGGACUGUAACUGACGCUGAUGCGCGAAAGUGUGGGUAUCAAACAGGAUUAGAUACCCCUGUAGUC